Molecule: ribosomal RNA, 253 nt
Filed under: uncultured bacterium
Lineage: Bacteria
Description: partial 16S ribosomal RNA
Rfam family: Bacterial small subunit ribosomal RNA
Source: RNAcentral
UACAGAGGUCUCAAGCGUUGUUCGGAUUCAUUGGGCGUAAAGGGUGCGUAGGUGGCGCGGUAAGUCGGGUGUGAAAUCUCGGAGCUUAACUCCGAAAUUGCAUUCGAUACUGCCGUGCUUGAGGACUGGAGAGGAGACUGGAAUUCAUGGUGUAGCAGUGAAAUGCGUAGAGAUCAUGAGGAAGACCAGUGGCGAAGGCAGCUCGCUGGGACGGUACUGACGCUAAGGCGCGAAAGCGUGGGGAGCAAACAGG